Molecule: ribosomal RNA, 459 nt
Filed under: uncultured bacterium
Lineage: Bacteria
Description: partial 16S ribosomal RNA
Rfam family: Bacterial small subunit ribosomal RNA
Source: RNAcentral
CCUACGGGAGGCAGCAGUGAGGAAUAUUGGUCAAUGGGCGGGAGCCUGAACCAGCCAAGCCGCGUGAGGGAAGAAGGUACAGCGUAUCGUAAACCUCUUUUGUCAGGGAACAAAGGCGGGGACUAGUCCCCGGAUGCGGGUACCUGAUGAAAAAGCAUCGGCUAACUCCGUGCCAGCAGCCGCGGUAAUACGGAGGAUGCGAGCGUUAUCCGGAUUUAUUGGGUUUAAAGGGUGCGCAGGCGGCCUGUUAAGUCAGCGGUAAAAGCCCGGGGCUCAACCCCGGCGAGCCGUUGAAACUGGCGGGCUGGAGUUGGAGGAAAGUACGCGGAAUGCGCGGUGUAGCGGUGAAAUGCUUAGAUAUGGCGCAGAACCCCGAUUGCGAAGGCAGCGUGCCGGCUCCGCACUGACGCUGAGGCACGAAAGCGUGGGUAUCGAACAGGAUUAGAUACCCGUGUAGUC